RNAcentral lists this transfer RNA (69 nucleotides) under Serratella zapekinae. RNAcentral's name for it is "tRNA-Ser". It matches the Rfam family "tRNA". From Rfam's summary of the family: Transfer RNA (tRNA) molecules are approximately 80 nucleotides in length. Their secondary structure includes four short double-helical elements and three loops (D, anti-codon, and T loops). Further hydrogen bonds mediate the characteristic L-shaped molecular structure. tRNAs have two regions of fundamental functional importance: the anti-codon, which is responsible for specific mRNA codon recognition, and the 3' end, to which the tRNAs corresponding amino acid is attached (by aminoacyl-tRNA synthetases). tRNAs cope with the degeneracy of the genetic code in two manners: having more than one tRNA (with a specific anti-codon) for a particular amino acid; and 'wobble' base-pairing, i.e. permitting non-standard base-pairing at the 3rd anti-codon position. Lineage: Eukaryota; Metazoa; Arthropoda; Insecta; Ephemeroptera; Ephemerellidae. The record is from RNAcentral.
GGCUAAGUAAUUAUCGGAUAAUAAUUGUUUUGAAAGCAUUAUAAAGAGGUUCAACUCCUCUCUAGGCCU